GAUGGCGGAAGUGGCACUGUUGCCAGGCAGCCGUUGCCUGGCGUCGCGGGGCGUGCUCUGCGCUGGGCGCGCGGAGGCCAAGGCGGGAAGCUCGAGCGGCGGCGCCAUGGCCCGAGGUAGCGCGCGGCGGGCGGGGGUCCCGGGUUCCGGGAUCCAGGGUCGGCGGCCGGAGCGCUCAGGGCCCCGCCUAGGCCCUGAGGCCAGAGCCCCCGCUCAGGCAGGGUCCCGUCUGCCGGGCUCCCACCCUCGGGCUUCCGGAGCUUGGCUUCCCUCGGGCGCCCGUGCUCGUCCCGCCAGCCUGGCUGGCGUGGGCGUCGCCGGGGAAGGCGUGGAGAGCCCCGGCUCCUGCCUGCUCCCCGAAGCCCGGCCCAGCCCCGCAGUGGCCCCGGCUCGCGUGGCCGAGUCCCCUGACGCCCGGCGCCCGCUCCCCGCAGCGUGGCAGCACCCGUUCCUCAGCGUCUUCAGACACUUCCGGGUGGACGAGUGGAAGCGCUCCGCCAAGCAGGGGGACGUGGCCGUGGUCACGGACAAGACCCUGAAGGGCGCCGUGUAUCGCAUUCGGGGCUCAGUCUCUGCCGCCAACUACAUCCAGCUCCCUGGGAGCAGCACCCAGUCCCUGGGGCUGACGGGACGAUACCUGUACGUGCUCUUUCGGCCCCUGCCCGGCAAGCACUUCGUCAUCCACUUGGAUGUGUCCACCAAGGACAACCAAGUCAUCCGUGUGUCUUUCUCCAACCUCUUCAAGGAGUUUAAGUCUACGGCCACGUGGCUCCAGUUUCCCUUGGUCCUGGAGACCAGGACACCUCAGAGAGAUCUGGUGGGUUUGGCCCCCUCCAGAGCCCGCUGGACCUGCCUGCAGCUCGACCUGCAGGACAUUCUCCUGGUCUACCUGAACCGGUGCUACGGCCAUCUCAAGAGCAUCAGGCUGUGCGCCAGCCUGCUGGUCAGGAACCUGUACACCAGCGACCUGUGCUUUGAGCCUGCCAUCUCUGGGGCCCAGUGGGCAAAGCUGCCCGUGACUCCUAUGCCUCGGGAAAUGGCAUUCCCUGUGCCCAAGGGAGAGAGCUGGCAUGACCGCUACGUCCACGUCCGGUUUCCAAGUGACAGCUUGAAAGUGUCUUCCAAGCUGAUUGAGAACAGCUGUUCCCCUCCUGAGGCAGUCCUCCUGGGGCCGGGGCCACAGCCUCUCCCUUGCCCGGUGGCCUCCAGCAAACCUGUGCGGUUCAGUGUGUCUCCAGUGGUCCAGACGCCCAGCCCCACAGCCGUGAGUACCCCUUCGCCCUAUGAGAUGGGGUUGGGGCGUGAUGGCCCAGGGUGCUGAUGGGCACUUGUCCCCCAACAGUCUGGCUGGGCCCCCUUGGCACCCAGGCCCUUCCUGGAGGUCAGCCUGUCCCAAGAGCGCUCAGACGCCUCCAACGUGGAUGGCCCCGGUUUCCAUAGCCUUGAGCCCUGGGCCCACGUGGAGGCCUCUGACGUCCACACGGCUGCUGCUGGCACCCAUGUGUUGACUCACGAGUCGGCUGAGGUGCCUGUGGUCCGCACCGGCUCCUGCGAGGGCUUCCUCCCAGACCCGGUCCUGAGGCUCAAGGGCGUCAUCGGCUUUGGGGGCCACAGCACCAGACAGGCCCUGUGGACCCCGGACGGGGCAGCUGUCGUGUACCCCUGCCAUGCGGUCAUUGUCGUCCUGCUUGUGGACACAGGGGAGCAGCGCUUCUUCCUCGGCCACACAGACAAGGUGGGUGCUGCCCGGGCCCGGGGCGGCUCACACCUGCAGCCCCUGCACCCUCCCUCACCCUUCUGCCUCCUAGGUCUCCGCCCUGGCGCUGGAUGGCAGCAGCUCACUAUUGGCCUCGGCCCAGGCAAGGGCCCCCAGUGUGAUGCGGCUCUGGAACUUCCAGACCGGGCAGUGCCUGUGCCUGUUCCGGAGCCCAGUGCACGUUGUCUGCUCUCUCAGGUGAGCACAGGUGUGCCCCAUGCAGGGGGUGGGGGUCAGCCCAGGCGACACUGACAACCUCCUCCCUGUUCACAGCUUCUCUGACAGCGGGGCCCUUCUCUGCGGGGUUGGCAAGGACCACCACGGGAGGACGGUAACAGGGCCCUGGCCGGGGGUUGGGGUGGGGCCGUCCUGAUGCAGGCAGACAGCUGGAAGGGUCUUGGUUUUCUGAGACUCCACCUUCAUGUGAUGCUGGGUCCCUGCUCUGUGUCCUCCCUGUCGUGGGGCUCUGUGCACUCCAGUGUGCAUGCCGCCCCCGUGCCCUGCAUAGAAACCACCACCAGCAGCUCACAUUUCAUGUCUUGGCUUUUCGGCCAUCGGAGUCGGUUUAAGUCAGCAUUUACACACCUCGCCUCGUUCUCUCUGCUGGUGAUGCGGUUGAGAGAUUUUCACAUGGCAGAGCCCCUGCAGCUGACCCACGCUUGGGCGUCAAUGGCACCUCUACACAGCCGAAGCACCCGGCGUCUUGGUGGGGGCACCUUUUUAAACAUUUUUUUUUUUUUUGAGGGAGGGCCUUGUUCUGUCACCUAGGCUGGAAUGCAGUGGUGCAAUCAUAGCUCACUGCAGCCUCGACCCUCUCCCUGACCUCCCUGCCAGCUGGACUCAAGCCAUCCUCCUGCCUCGGCUUCCCAGAUCGCUGGGCCACAGGCGUGUGCCACCGCACCUGGCUAACUUUUUUUUUUUUUUUUUUUUUUUGAGACAGCAUCUCGCUCUGUCACCCAGGAUGGAGGGCAGUGGCACGAUCUUGGCUCACUGCAAGCUCCGCCUCCCGGGUUCACACCAUUCUCCUGCCUCAGCCUCCCCAGUAGCUGGGACUACAGGCGCCUGCCAACACGCCUGGCUAAUUUUUUUUUUUUUCUAUUUUUAGUAGAGAUAGGGUUUCACCGUGUUACCCAAGAUGGUCUCACGUUUUGUUUUUUUAACUUUUUGUAGAGAUAGGGUUUCAUUACAUUCCUCAGGCUGGUCUCAAACUCCAGGGCUCAAGCAGUCCUCCCACCUCAGCCUCCCAAAGUGCUGGGAUCACAGGCGUGAGCCACUGUGCCCAGCCACGAGCUGCUUUUUAUCCACCUUCUGGGCUUGUGGGUGGGUUUGUACUUCUCUGCGAAUGGGUUGCAGCGCUCCGCAUCACGGGUCUCUGUAGAAGUCCCGAAGCUUCAGGAUGAGAAGAUGGAGGGGCUUGUUUCCUUCCACAUUCCGCGGCCGCACACUCAGGCUGGUCUCCGCGUGAGAAAAGCCAGCUCCGGGUGGGGCUCAGCUGGGCCUUGCAGAAUCAAGGCGGCACUGACUGGCCCUGCCACGCAGGCUCAGCCUGGGCUUGUUGCAGAUGGUGGUGGCCUGGGGCACUGGCCAGGUGGGCCUCGGUGGCGAGGUGGUCGUUCUGGCAAAGGCGCACACUGACUUUGACGUCCAGGCCUUCCGGGUCACCUUUUUUGAUGAAACCAGGAUGGCGUCGUGUGGGCAGGGCAGCGUGCGGCUCUGGCGGCUGCGUGGCGGGGCGCUGCGUUCCUGCCCUGUGGACUUAGGGGAGCACCACACACUGCAGUUCACCGACCUCGCCUUCAAGCAGGCCCAGGACGGCUGCCUGGAGCCGUUGGCUGCCAUGCUCUUCGUGUGCAGCCGCAGCGGCCACAUCUUGGAGAUUGACUGUCAGCGCAUGGUCGUGCGGCAUGCCCGCCGCCUGCUCCCCACACGGACUCCGGGCGGCCCCCACCCGCAGAAGCAGACCUUCAGCUCAGGUAAGAGGGCGCCCGCCACGUGGCGAGGGUGGCAGGGACACCGAGGCACUGACGCCUCCCCGCCCCCAGGCCCCGGCAUUGCCAUCAGCAGCCUCAGCAUCUCCCCGGCCAUGUGUGCUGUGGGCUCUGAGGACGGCUUCCUGCGGCUCUGGCCCCUGGACUUCUCCUCGGUGCUCCUGGAGGCAGGUGAUGCUGUGGGCACGCUCUCCCAACUCUGGGAGAGCCUCGCCUGGAUGCUGGGGCGGGGAAGGCCCAGUACCCGGGACUUUGCUGUCAGCCGCCCUGUCUCCUGGCUGCACAGGGAGCCACGGGGCCAAGUGGCGUAUCCUGAGCCCUGGGGUGGCUGAUGCCAGGGCGGCCCGCAGGGCAGCCUCACGGAAGGGCCCGGUGGGAUGUGGGUAGUGUGCGAAGCCCCUCAGCCUGGGUCCCGCCUAGCUUAGGAGUGGUGGCCUCGAGGGAGCUGCAUCUUGCAGCCACGUGGAGUCUGGGACUUUGAGCAGCAGGAAGUGCAUUUGCUGGGGUCUCGGGGACCCGAAGCCUGAGCAUGCGGCUCACCCCGGGGUGGCCCUGGAGGCCCCUGACCCCACCCCACCCACAGAGCACGAGGGCCCCGUCAGCUCAGUCUGUGUCAGCCCCGAUGGCCUCCGUGUGCUGUCUGCCACCUCCUCGGGCCACCUGGGCUUCCUGGACACGCUGUCCCGGGUGUACCACAUGCUGGCUCGCUCCCACACCGCCCCGGUGCUGGCCCUCGCCAUGGAGCAGAGGCGGGGACAGCUAGCCACCGUGUCCCAGGACCGCACCGUCCGCAUCUGGGACCUGGCCACCCUGCAGCAGCUAUACGACUUCACAUCAUCAGAGGAGGCCCCGUGCGCUGUCACCUUCCACCCCACAAGGCCAACCUUUUUCUGCGGCUUUAGUAGUGGGGCCGUGCGCUCCUUCAGCUUGGAGGCCGCUGAGGUCCCGGUGGAACACACGUGCCACCGAGGAGCCAUCACCGGCCUGACCGCCACCCCUGACGGCCGCCUGCUCUUCAGCUCCUGCUCUGAGGGCUCCCUGGCCCAGUACAGCUGUGCGGACCCCCACUGGCAUGUCCUCCGAGUGGCAGCGGACAUGGUAUGCCCAGAUGCCCCCGCGAGCCCCAGCGCUCUGGCAGUCAGCAGGGAUGGCCACUUGCUGGCCUUCGUGGGACCCUCCAGGUGCACAGUGACAGUCACGGACUCGGCCUCCCUUGAUGAGCUGCUGCGAGUUGACAUCGGCACUCUGGACCUGGCCAGCAGCCGCCUGGACUCAGCCAUGGCUGUGUGCUUUGGCCCUGCAGCUCUGGGCCACCUGCUGGUGUCCACCUCGUCCAACAGAGUCGUGGUGCUGGAUGCUGUGUCGGGCCGCAUCAUCCGGGAGCUGCCCGGUGUCCACCCUGAGCCCUGUCCCUCCUUGACGCUCAGUGAGGACGCCCGCUUCCUGCUGAUUGCCGCCGGCCGGACCAUCAAGGUGUGGGACUACACGACACAGGCCAGCCCAGGCCCCCAGGUGUACAUCGGCCACUCGGAACCCGUGCAGGCUGUGGCUUUCUCUCCUGACCAGCAGCAGGUCCUCAGCGCAGGGGACGCCGUCUUCCUCUGGGAUGUCCUGGCCACUACUGAGAGGCAAGUGCCUACUCUCAGCUUUGUCUGCCUAGGCCCCCCAGGCCCUCCUGAAACCCUCUCUCCUCCCUCUCCAGCAACCAAAGCUUCCCCGUGGCCCCCCAAGCCUGUGAGGCAGGCUCGGGCAUAGGACCACUGGAGGACGCAUCGUCCAGGGCCAGCGAGCUCCCCCAGCAGCAGGUCCCCAAGCCAUCUCAGGCAUCUCUACCACGGCUGGGCAUCUGUGCCAGGCCUCCCGAAGGUGGCGAUGGUGUCAGGGACACCAGGAAUUCGGGGGCCCCACGCACCACCUGCCUGGCUUCCUACAAGGCCUUCACGCCUGCCAGGGUCAGCUGCAGCCCCCACUCUGCCAAGGGCACUUGCCUGCCUCCCGCCAGCGGUGGGUGGCUGCGUCUGAAGGCUGUCGUUGGCUACAGUGGGAAUGGGCGGGCCAACAUGGUCUGGAGGCCGGACACAGGCUUCUUUGCCUACACCUGCGGCCG
RNAcentral lists this small RNA (5851 nucleotides) under Pongo abelii (Sumatran orangutan). RNAcentral's name for it is "retained intron". The record is from RNAcentral. Lineage: Eukaryota; Metazoa; Chordata; Mammalia; Primates; Hominidae.